CCACUGGUGCCUGGGCGUGACAACUAUUCAAUAUUAUUUACCAAAGUUGGGAUAAAAGUAUAUAAGAAUAUAUUUCUAUGUUUCCGUUGUUAUCAUUUAAAUUUUUAAAUUUAAGUUUAAAAUUUUUAAUUUUCAAAUCUAAAUUUAAAUUUUAAAUUUAACAUUUUAUAUUAUUUAAAAUUUAAAUUAUGUAAAUUCUGAGAUAUAAUCUUCAUUCUAAUCUCAUCCUAAUAUAAAUCCGAA
RNAcentral lists this long non-coding RNA (243 nucleotides) under Ananas comosus (pineapple). Its description in RNAcentral is "long non-coding RNA (ACOM_LNC034435)". Lineage: Eukaryota; Viridiplantae; Streptophyta; Magnoliopsida; Poales; Bromeliaceae. The record is from RNAcentral.